RNAcentral lists this ribosomal RNA (253 nucleotides) under uncultured bacterium. RNAcentral's name for it is "partial 16S ribosomal RNA". It matches the Rfam family "Bacterial small subunit ribosomal RNA", at positions 524 to 776 of the family's 1533-position model. The record is from RNAcentral.
UACGAGGGGGGCGAGCGUUGUUCGGAAUUAUUGGGCGUAAAGGGUGCGUAGGCGGUUUGGUAAGUCUGAUGUGAAAUCUAUGGGCUCAACUCAUAGUCUGCAUCGGAAACUGCCGGGCUUGAGUGUGGGAGAGGUGAGUGGAAUUCCUGGUGUAGCGGUGAAAUGCGUAGAUAUCAGGAGGAACACCUGUGGCGAAAGCGGCUCACUGGACCAUAACUGACGCUGAUGCACGAAAGCUAGGGUAGCAAACGGG